RNAcentral lists this ribosomal RNA (429 nucleotides) under uncultured bacterium. RNAcentral's name for it is "bacterial SSU rRNA". It matches the Rfam family "Bacterial small subunit ribosomal RNA", at positions 29 to 506 of the family's 1533-position model. The record is from RNAcentral.
ACGAACGCUGGCGGCAGGCUUAACACAUGCAAGUCGAACGCCCCGCAAGGGGAGUGGCAGACGGGUGAGUAACGCGUGGGAACGUGCCUUUUGGUUCGGAACAACUCAGGGAAACUUGAGCUAAUGCCGGAUAAGCCCCGAGGGGGAAAGAUUUAUCGCCAAAAGAUCGGCCCGCGUCAGAUUAGGUAGUUGGUAGGGUAACGGCCUACCAAGCCGACGAUCUGUAGCUGGUCUGAGAGGAUGAUCAGCCACAUUGGGACUGAGACACGGCCCAAACUCCUACGGGAGGCAGCAGUGGGGAAUAUUGGACAAUGGGCGAAAGCCUGAUCCAGCCAUGCCGCGUGGAUGAAGAAGGCCCUAGGGUUGUAAAGUCCUUUCGACGGGGAAGAUAAUGACGGUACCCGUAGAAGAAGCCCCGGCUAAUUUCGU